RNAcentral lists this ribosomal RNA (502 nucleotides) under uncultured bacterium. Its description in RNAcentral is "partial 16S ribosomal RNA". It matches the Rfam family "Bacterial small subunit ribosomal RNA", at positions 28 to 507 of the family's 1533-position model. The record is from RNAcentral.
GACGAACGCUGGCGGCGUGCCUAAUACAUGCAAGUCGAACGAACCGCGACUAAGUGCUUGCACUAAGUCAAGGUGAGUGGCGAACGGGUGAGUAACACGUGGGUAACCUACCUCAUAGUGGGGGAUAACAGUCGGAAACGACUGCUAAUACCGCAUAGGACAUAGGAUCACAUGAUCCAGUGAGGAAAGGUGGCGCAAGCUAUCGCUAAGAGAUGGACCCGCGGUGCAUUAGCUAGUUGGUAGGGUAAAGGCCCACCAAGGCGAUGAUGCAUAGCCGACCUGAGAGGGUGAUCGGCCACAUUGGGACUGAGACACGGCCCAAACUCCUACGGGAGGCAGCAGUAGGGAAUCUUCCGCAAUGGACGCAAGUCUGACGGAGCAACGCCGCGUGAGUGAAGAAGGUCUUCGGAUCGUAAAGCUCUGUUGUUAGAGAAGAACAGCGCAUAGAGUAACUGCUAUGCGUGUGACGGUAUCUAACCAGAAAGCCACGGCUAACUACGUG